Molecule: small nuclear RNA, 112 nt
Organism: Coffea eugenioides
Lineage: Eukaryota; Viridiplantae; Streptophyta; Magnoliopsida; Gentianales; Rubiaceae
Product: U5 spliceosomal RNA
Exons: 1
Source: RefSeq, a predicted model, not a curated record
AGCCACGCAGUGAGCACAUAGCGAACUAUUCUUUCGCCUUUUACUAAAGAAUACCGUGUGCUCGCUGCACUUAGUGGCAUACCCCAAUUUUUGUAGGAGGGCUCCCUCUUCU